GGAAAAAGAGGGAUUC
RNAcentral lists this transfer RNA (16 nucleotides) under Pleuroziopsis ruthenica. Its description in RNAcentral is "partial tRNA-Ser". Lineage: Eukaryota; Viridiplantae; Streptophyta; Bryopsida; Hypnales; Climaciaceae. The record is from RNAcentral.